AUUGAACGCUGGCGGCAGGCUUAACACAUGCAAGUCGAGCGGAGACUUCGGUCUUAGCGGCGAACGGGUGAGUAAUACCUAGGAAUCUGCCUAUUAGUGGGGGAUAACGAAUCGAAAGGUUCGCUAAUACCGCAUACGUCCUACGGGAGAAAGGGGGGAGUCUUCGGACCUCUCGCUAAUAGAUGAGCCUAGGCCGGAUUAGCUAGUUGGUAGGGUAAAGGCCUACCAAGGCGACGAUCUGUAGCUGGUCUGAGAGGAUGGCCAGCCACACUGGAACUGAGACACGGUCCAGACUCCUACGGGAGGCAGCAGUGGGGAAUAUUGGACAAUGGGGGCGAACCCUCGAUCCAGCCAUGCCGCGUGUGUGAAGAA
This 372-nucleotide ribosomal RNA is filed under the name uncultured bacterium. RNAcentral describes it as "bacterial SSU rRNA". It matches the Rfam family "Bacterial small subunit ribosomal RNA", at positions 30 to 412 of the family's 1533-position model. The record is from RNAcentral.